This 394-nucleotide ribosomal RNA is filed under the name uncultured bacterium. RNAcentral's name for it is "partial 16S ribosomal RNA". It matches the Rfam family "Bacterial small subunit ribosomal RNA", at positions 523 to 918 of the family's 1533-position model. The record is from RNAcentral.
AUACGGAGGAUGCAAGCGUUAUCCGGAUUUAUUGGGUUUAAAGGGUGCGUAGGCGGAUGAUUAAGCGUGAGGUGAAAUGCCACUGCUCAACAGUGGAACUGCCUCGCGAACUGGUUGUCUUGAAUGCUCCUGCCGUGGGAGGAAUGUGUGGUGUAGCGGUGAAAUGCAUAGAGAUCACGCAGAACACCGAUUGCGAAGGCAUCUCACGAAGGGGUGAUUGACGCUGAGGCACGAAAGCGUGGGGAUCAAACAGGAUUAGAUACCCUGGUAGUCCACGCAGUAAACGAUGAUAACUAACCGCUGGGUCGUAGUGAUUCAGUGGCCAAGCGAAAGCGAUAAGUUAUCCACCUGGGGAGUACGACCGCAAGGUUGAAACUCAAAUGAAUUGACGGGG